This 273-nucleotide ribosomal RNA is filed under the name uncultured bacterium. RNAcentral's name for it is "partial 16S ribosomal RNA". It matches the Rfam family "Bacterial small subunit ribosomal RNA", at positions 524 to 796 of the family's 1533-position model. The record is from RNAcentral.
UACGUAGGGUGCGAGCGUUGUCCGGAUUUAUUGGGCGUAAAGGGCUCGUAGGUGGUUGAUCGCGUCGGAAGUGUAAUCUUGGGGCUUAACCCUGAGCGUGCUUUCGAUACGGGUUGACUUGAGGAAGGUAGGGGAGAAUGGAAUUCCUGGUGGAGCGGUGGAAUGCGCAGAUAUCAGGAGGAACACCAGUGGCGAAGGCGGUUCUCUGGGCCUUUCCUGACGCUGAGGAGCGAAAGCGUGGGGAGCGAACAGGAUUAGAUACCCCUGUAGUCC